CUGCGAAUGGCUCAUUAUAUCAGUUAUCGUUUAUUUGAUAGUACCUUACUACAUGGGAUAACCGUGGUAAUUCUAGAGCUAAUACAUGCUAAAAACCUCGACUUCGGAAGGGGUGUAUUUAUUAGAUAAAAAACCAAUGCCCUCCGGGGCUCCUUGGUGAUUCAUAAUAACUUAACGAAUCGCAUGGCCUUGCGCUGGCGAUGGUUCAUUCAAAUUUCUGCCCUAUCAACUUUCGAUGGUACUUUAGUGGACUACCAUGGUUUCUACGGGUAACGGGGAAUUAGGGUUCGACUCCGGAGAGGGAGCCUGAGAAACGGCUACCACAUCCAAGGAAGGCAGCAGGCGCGCAAAUUACCCAAUCCCGAUUCGGGGAGGUAGUGACAAUAAAUACUGAUAGGGAGCUCUUUUGGGUUUCCUAAUCGGAAUGAGUACAAUUUAAAUCCCUUAACGAGGAACAAUUGGAGGGCAAGUCUGGUG
RNAcentral lists this ribosomal RNA (477 nucleotides) under Polyblastidium hypoleucum. RNAcentral describes it as "SSU rRNA". It matches the Rfam family "Eukaryotic small subunit ribosomal RNA", at positions 87 to 566 of the family's 1831-position model. Lineage: Eukaryota; Fungi; Ascomycota; Lecanoromycetes; Caliciales; Physciaceae. The record is from RNAcentral.